GCCGGUCCAAGCCUCUCCCAAAGCCCCUGCUCCUCCUCCUCCUCCAGCCCUCCACUCCCGUCCCUCGAUCCUCCCCGCCAUCCCCCCCCCUUCUCCUUCUCUCUCCCUCUCAUCUGUCUUCUUCCCUUCCUUCAUCCAACACCUCUGCGGGGGGGAAAACCGAGGCCCCAGUGAGCCCACGGCAGGUCUGGGGCUCCAACCUGGCUCUGCCGCACGGCUCUGCCUUCCCUCCUUCUCUGCCCCCCAGCCCUGUCUGCACCCCCCAAAGCCAAGUGCUGGAGGUGGCCCCCUGGAUCCGCACAUGAGAAAAUGGGGAAGCUGCCCGUCCCCGCUGAGCCUGAGGACGCCAGGUCUCCCCUGUCUCUGCCCAUCUCUGUCUCUUUCCCUUGGGUGCCCCGAGCCAGACCUGUGUCUCCCCAGAUUAUCAGGUCGAUAGACAUUGGGAAGACAAGACAACGAAACUCCAGUGCGGUUCAGUGCUCACCGUUAGAAAAAGGGAGCGGACAUCGGGUUCCUGAGCCUCGGCGCUGAGGACAGCUAAGCCUCGUGCACAGGUCAGUGCCGUGAUGUGUCUCCUACUUGACCGUCAGAGUUCAAGGGGACGUUGAAUGGCUGGCCAUUCUGGGCCGGGCUGAGGGGGGGGGGGUGGCUUGCUGUGGAGGCGGGCGCCUCACCCGAAGGGCUUCAGCGGGGCGUGCAGGGUGGCCACUGGCAGGACCAGAGCCGAGUCACUGGAUGUGACAGACGUUAUCUCAAAGCUGGCUCCCGUCCUGGCGGCUGGGAGGCACUACGUGGCCUCAGGGGCGUUCUUUUUACCAAGGUAGCCGUAGAGACAAACAAGGCUGAGAUCCUGCUCUCUUGACUUCGGCCGUCUGUCCAUCUGGUCUCAUUUCCAGAGGGUGUUGGGUGGCUUCUGUCGUGUGGGAGGAGGGACGGCGUGAAGGUGAGCUGGGCAAGGCGGCUCGGCCUGCGGUAGCCCCACGUCUCUCCCCUUGCACCUGCCCGCGGAGGUCUCCGCCACCCUCCCGCGGUUUUCUCUGUCGUGUGAUCUGUGAUCUUCACUCACAGUCAACCUCUGGCUUCCAACCGAAAUGCCGAGGGAAUUUUGAUUCGGGUUGUGUUUGAUUUAUCGGUAAAUUUGAGGGAGAUCGGAUGUCUCUGUGAUGUUGGAUAUUCCCAAGCCGUGUGUCUGCGCCUGAGUCUAAAAGAAAAAACGUCAGAAGGAGGCAGCCCCAGAAGACGCACGUGCUGUGGGUCCGUCUCGGGGAAGUUUCCAGCAAAGGCUGGUCUGCAGGGACGGGAAGGUGCUUGGUGGCCGCCAGGGGCUGGGG
Molecule: long non-coding RNA, 1331 nt
Filed under: Felis catus (domestic cat)
Lineage: Eukaryota; Metazoa; Chordata; Mammalia; Carnivora; Felidae
Description: lncRNA (ENSFCAG00000045083.2)
Source: RNAcentral